GAUCCGAAUCCUCCUACAACUACCCAGUUAAUAACGACACCAAACAGUACAGUCCCGGCAUCUCCACAGCCUACAACAGCCGCUUCGGCUACAGAACCCUUCCCAUACAUCAUUCCGAUCGCUGUGGCGGCUGGAGCUACUCUGGGACUUAUUCUAAUCAUCUGUAUUAUAAUCUGCUGUAUAUGGCGUAACCGAGGCAACACGAGUAUAGAUCGUCCAGAUGUAAGGAAAGAGAGCGUCACAGAAGUGAACAUCGUCAAGAGAGGUGACGACAACAGGGUGAAAACAGCGCCCAGAUUCAAAGAGGAUUCCAACUGGAACCGUCCUGAUCUCACCCCCA
Long non-coding RNA from Liolophura sinensis, 340 nucleotides. RefSeq lists it as uncharacterized. The transcript is spliced from 3 exons. Lineage: Eukaryota; Metazoa; Mollusca; Polyplacophora; Chitonida; Chitonidae. The record is from RefSeq and is a predicted model, not a curated record.